This is a small nuclear RNA of Suricata suricatta (meerkat), 109 nucleotides long. Lineage: Eukaryota; Metazoa; Chordata; Mammalia; Carnivora; Herpestidae. The record is from RefSeq and is a predicted model, not a curated record.
GUGCUCGCUUCAGCAGCACAUAUGCUAAAGCUGGAAGGAGACAGAGAAGAUUAGCGUGGCCCUCGAGGGAGGGUGACAUGCUAGGGUUCAGUAAGAAGAGGAAAUACCA